UAUCAAUAAGCGGAGGA
Molecule: ribosomal RNA, 17 nt
Filed under: Rhizoctonia sp. VJ15
Lineage: Eukaryota; Fungi; Basidiomycota; Agaricomycetes; Cantharellales; Ceratobasidiaceae
Also listed under: 2 other names
Description: partial 25S ribosomal RNA
Source: RNAcentral